Molecule: long non-coding RNA, 336 nt
Organism: Megalobrama amblycephala (Wuchang bream)
Lineage: Eukaryota; Metazoa; Chordata; Actinopteri; Cypriniformes; Xenocyprididae
Exons: 3
Source: RefSeq, a predicted model, not a curated record
GAACAAUCCCAUCAGCAACCAGACUCAACAUCUGGACAUCACUCACCUCUGUCACACAUGUUCAGAUCAAGGUCUACCUUUAUUGUACACAGUGCUGAUCUCUGCUGCUGGAUCUCUGUUGAUUGUAGCUGUGGUUGGGAUGUUCUGGAUCUGCAAGAAAUGUAGAAAAACAGUCAAAACCCAGGAGGAAGACAGAACUGAUUCAUCAAUGCUUAAAAAAACACGGAAAAUGGUAAGAUGUUGCAAGAAGUUGUUGCAGUCAGUUAGUUUGAAGUUUGCAGCAUCAGACGUGUGUGGUUUAUCAACGCUGUCAUUAAUGUUCCUGUGGUUUAUAUU